ACUUAUAAAGAUAGAUUAGGAAAUUCCCUUUUAUUGGUAGUGUGUUUAUGUGUUUUCUCAAAAAUAAAUAGAACCAACUUAUAAAUACACCCUGCAUACAAGCAUUCAAAUCACCAAAGAUAAAAGAAAUAAGUACUUUCCAAUCAAAUUCUCAAAGGACAAAGAAAGCAAAGCCGACAGGAGAUGGUUGAACUGAAUCAGAAGCUAGCAAGGAUCCAAGGUGGGUUGAAGCCAUACAAAUUGAUAUCAAAGCACUGGACAAAAACUACACCUGGACAGUAGUACCAUUACCUAAAGGAAAGAAACCAAUUGGAUGUAAAUAGAUCUUUAAAGUUAAAUAUCAGGCAUCUGGUGUAGUAGAAAGAUUUAAAGAAAGACUUUUUGCCAAAGAAUAUAUUCAAACUGAGGGAAUUGAUUACCAAGAGACUUUUAGUCCAGUUGUCAAGAUGGUCAUGCUCAGGGCUGUUUUAGCUAUAGCUGCAACAAGACAUUGUACAAUGUAUUUUUCCAAGGUGACCUAUAUGAUGAAAUCUACAUGUAAGUCCCACAAGGAUUUAGGAGUUAGGGGGAGUGUAAUCAAGUAUGUAGUCUCUCCAAAUCCUUGUAUGGACUCAGCAGGCACCAACACAGUGUAAUGCUAAACUAUCCGAGUCUUUAUUUGCUUGCAAAUUUGGUCACAGCCAAUAUGAUCAUUCACUCUUUAAAAAAAGAACCAAGGA
Molecule: long non-coding RNA, 719 nt
Organism: Capsicum annuum
Lineage: Eukaryota; Viridiplantae; Streptophyta; Magnoliopsida; Solanales; Solanaceae
Exons: 3
Source: RefSeq, a predicted model, not a curated record